ACAGCUUUGGACAAAAGUCUAUAGCCAGAGCAUUCAGUAAUUCCCCAUGCACAAGAGCUGACUGUGUCUCUGGGAAGACAUUUUACUGGUCUGCUUUCUUAUUUCCUAGUUUUCUAGUUCUUCUCUCAGGUGUUUGAUACUUAUUUGUCUCUCACCUGCCUGGGGCACUGCUUGAGAAUAUUCUGCACCAUGUCAGCUGAUGUAGGUCUCAUAAAGAGUAAAGACAGCUCU
Non-coding RNA from Anolis carolinensis (green anole), 231 nucleotides. The record is from Rfam. NCBI's taxonomy places the organism in Eukaryota, Metazoa, Chordata, Lepidosauria, Squamata, Anolidae.